RNAcentral lists this long non-coding RNA (2663 nucleotides) under Sus scrofa (pig). RNAcentral describes it as "lncRNA (ENSSSCG00025071986.1)". The record is from RNAcentral. Lineage: Eukaryota; Metazoa; Chordata; Mammalia; Artiodactyla; Suidae.
AGAACCUGAGGGGGAAAAAAAAAGAUUUUAUCAAGGUCAAAGCCUUACUCUCUGCAGGAAGGAACACCUGUCCAUCCAGGAAUCACUGAGGGAAGCUGGAGACCUGAAUCAACUUAACCCCACAAGCAGUGGAGCCUAGGAUAAAUCCUGUUUAUAUCUGCCAAGCAAGGCAUGAAGGGCAUAACAGAUGCAAGGCUAUUCAUCACUUAUGUUGAAGAUAAAUACAUAGAAGUCGUUUUCAGAAAAAGAUUGACUGGAACUGGGGUGUUUGUUGGGGAGGGAAGGAGGAUCUUCAGUAAAGGGAAGCUUGAGGUACAAAAAGAGGAAGGUAGAAGAACUGACAACCCUUCUAGGCAUUGAUCAAGAACUGAGUUAUAGAAAGCUCCCAUUUGAUGACUGUUUAGGAUAGUCCGAAGGAUCUCUGGAGGAAAGGAAUGAGAUUCAAAGAGGGCUAAUCAUUUAGCAAGUCCUCCAACCAGUAACGUUAGUAGUUACUCAGCUCUCCUUUCCAUGAGCUGACUGAAAAAUGAGAAAGAAGCAAGCAUCCUGUGUUCAGAGAUCAAGGCAGCUACUCCUUUGAAGAUAUUCCCCAUGUAAGGGAUAGGUGUCUGUUUUAUAAUUAACAAAUAAUGUCCCUUAGCGGCCUAUAACUUCUAACUGCAACAAUUACUUAAUAAACGCCCUCUGCUUGAUUCCCAAGUUAUGGUCAAUGGCUAAAAUUUUUUUUGUCUACAAAACCUUGACCAUGAUUUAUUCACCAAUGUUAUCAACUUUCUCAGUAAGUUAAAUAAAAUUCAUUUUUUCCUCCUCUUUUUUCUUUUCUAGGCCCCCCACCCCCUCCUCUCAAAACUCAUCUUUAAAAGGUUACAUUUUCCUGGUGUUCCUGUCAUGGCUCAGUGGUUAAGGACCUGGAGUUGUCUCUGUGAGGAUACAGGUUCCAUCCCUGGCCUCAUGCAGUGGGUUAAGGAUACGGCAUUGCUCUAAGCAACAGCGUAGGUUACAGAUGUGGCUCGGAUGCAGUGUUUCUGUGGCUGUGGCACAGGUCUGCAGCUGCAGCUCUAAUUCGACCCCUAACCUGGGAACAUCCACAUGCCACAGGUGUGGCCAUAAAAAGAAAAAAAAUUUUUUAAAAAGGUUUCAUUUUCCUAAAGAAAUAAAUAGUUACAUUUUCCAGGGUAUUUAAGAUACAGUUCCAACAGAAAAACAUUCUACAACAAGAGUUGUGCUGUGUCAAGAUAAUCAGAUUUCACAGUUGAGACAAUUCAAAAUUAACUCACUAUAGCCCCAAAACUAUUUACUGGCAAUUUAGAGACUCUUAAGAAGCCAAAUGGGAACAAAAACAUCUUGUACCUUGGCAUAUACCUCUAUCAAUUAGACAAUGAAAAUGAUUCUUGAAAAGUUAAGACAGCCACAAACUUAAGGCAGUGGUAGUUGUAACACGGAGAACAGGUCAUUUAGUAAUGUCAGAUUUUGUUGUUGGUUUUUGUUUGUUUGUUUGUUUUGUCUUUUUGCCUUUUCUAGGGCUGCUCCAUGGCAAUAUAGAGGUUCCCAGGCUAGGGGUCUAAUCGGAGCUGUAGGUGCUGGCCUGCACCACAGCCACAGCAACACCGGAUCCUUAACCCACGGAGCAAGGCCAGAGAUCGAACCGCAAUCUCAUCAUUGCUAGUCAGAUUCAUUAACCUCUGAGCCACGAUUGGAACUCCCUUUUUUUACUUCUUAAAAUAUGAGUUGUCUCUUGUUCCAAAUAAUUUUUACUAAAACCUAAAAUAAGAAUAAACUGCAUAAGGACUAAUAUUCUAUUGAGAUGAUCAUGAUUUUACAACUUCUCAGUGAAAAAGCAAAACUUGCUGGAGGUUAAUGGAGAUGGCACUAAAGAUAGAACAACUUUGUUCCUACUACUAUUUACCUACUGCCUUUGAGAGCCUUUAAAAACCAUCAUGUUUGGAGUUCCUGUCGUGGCUCAGUGGUUAACGAAUCCGACAAGGAACCAUGAGAUUGCAGUUCGAUCUCUGGUCUCGCUCAGUGGGUUAAGGAUCCGGCGUUGCCGUGAGCUUUGCCGUGAGCUGUGGUGUAGGUUGCAGACACGGCUCGGAUCCCACGUUGCUGUGGCUCUGACGUAGGCCAGCGGCUGCAGCUCAGAUUGAACCUCAAACCUGGGAACCUCCAUAUGCCGAGGGAGCAGCCCAAGAAAUGGCAAAAACAAACAAACAAAAAAAACAAAAAAAACCCCAUCAUGUUAACAAGGAAUUGAUUUCAAACUACUGCCUAUAUAGAUCAAUGUCUAUGCAAUUUCAUGUAACUAUUUUUUAAUUUUUUAUUUAAAAAAUUUUUCAAUUACAGUUGAUUUACAAUAUGUAACUAUUUUUUAAAUAAAAAUAUUUGUAAAAGCUAAAAGAUGUUCAAUAAAAAAUAAUAAUGCAGGAGUUCCCGUCGUGGCGCAGUGGUUAACGAAUCCGACUAGGAACCAUGAGGUUGUGGGUUCGGUCCCUGCCCUUGCUCAGUGGGUUAACGAUCCGGCGUUGCCGUGAGCUGUGGUGUAGGUUGCAGACGCGGCUCGGAUCCUGCGUUGCUGUGGCUCUGGCGUAGGCCAGUGGCUACAGCUCCGAUUCGACGCCCAGCCUGGGAACCUCCAUAUGCCGCGGGAGCGGCCCAAGAAAUAGCAA